AUGAACGCUGGCGGCGUGCCUAAUACAUGCAAGUAGAACGCUGAAGGAAGGAGCUUGCUCUUUCCGGAUGAGUUGCGAACGGGUGAGUAACGCGUAGGUAACCUGCCUGGUAGCGGGGGAUAACUAUUGGAAACGAUAGCUAAUACCGCAUAACAGUAGAUGUUGCAUGAUAUCUACUUAAAAGGUGCAAUUGCACCACUACCAGAUGGACCUGCGUUGUAUUAGCUAGUUGGUGAGGUAACGGCUCACCAAGGCGACGAUACAUAGCCGACCUGAGAGGGUGAUCGGCCACACUGGGACUGAGACACGGCCCAGACUCCUACGGGAGGCAGCAGUAGGGAAUCUUCGGCAAUGGACGGAAGUCUGACCGAGCAACGCCGCGUGAGUGAAGAAGGGUUUCGGAUCGUAAAGCUCUGUUGUAAGAGAAGAACGAGUGUGAGAGUGGAAAGUUCACACUGUGACGGUAUCUUACCAGAAAGGGACGGCUAACUACGUG
This 496-nucleotide ribosomal RNA is filed under the name uncultured bacterium. RNAcentral describes it as "partial 16S ribosomal RNA". It matches the Rfam family "Bacterial small subunit ribosomal RNA", at positions 29 to 507 of the family's 1533-position model. The record is from RNAcentral.